AUCCAAAUGAAGAGUCUUAAAUAUAAUGAAACGCAUGUCCUGGAU
This 45-nucleotide non-coding RNA is filed under the name Schistosoma bovis. The record is from RNAcentral. Lineage: Eukaryota; Metazoa; Platyhelminthes; Trematoda; Strigeidida; Schistosomatidae. RNAcentral also lists the same sequence under 1 other name.